CCUACGGGAGGCAGCAGUGAGGAAUAUUGGUCAAUGGACGCAAGUCUGAACCAGCCAUGCCGCGUGCAGGAUGACGGCUCUAUGAGUUGUAAACUGCUUUUGUACGAGGGUAAACCCCGAUACGUGUAUCGGGUUGAAAGUAUCGUACGAAUAAGGAUCGGCUAACUCCGUGCCAGCAGCCGCGGUAAUACGGAGGAUCCGAGCGUUAUCCGGAUUUAUUGGGUUUAAAGGGUGCGUAGGCGGUUUGAUAAGUUAGAGGUGAAAUGUCGGGGCUCAACCCCGAAACUGCCUCUAAUACUGUUGGACUAGAGAAUAGUUGCGGUAGGCGGAAUGUAUGGUGUAGCGGUGAAAGGCUUAGAGAUCAGACAGAACACCGAUUGCGAAGGCAGCUUACCAAACUAUAUCUGACGUUGAGGCACGAAAGCGUGGGUAGCAAACAGGAUUAGAUACCCUGGUAGUC
This 460-nucleotide ribosomal RNA is filed under the name uncultured bacterium. RNAcentral describes it as "partial 16S ribosomal RNA". It matches the Rfam family "Bacterial small subunit ribosomal RNA", at positions 338 to 795 of the family's 1533-position model. The record is from RNAcentral.